GUAUUGGCAUACCGUGGCAGUGACGGUUAACGGGGGAUUAGGGUUCGAUUCCGGAGAGGGAGCCUGAGAAACGGCUACCACAUCUAAGGAAGGCAGCAGGCGCGCAAAUUACCCAAUUCUAACAGCAUAAGAGAGGUAGUGACAAGAAAUAACAAUACAGGGCCAGUUAAAAUGCUUUGUAAUUGGAAUGAUAGAAAUUUAAACACUUUUUAAAGUAUCAAUUGGAGGGCAAGUCUGGUGCCAGCAGCCGCGGUAAUUCCAGCUCCAAUAGCGUAUAUUAAAAUUGUUGCAGUUAAAAAGCUCGUAGUUGAAUUUCUGCUAAAAAUAGCCGGUCUGCUUUUAAUAAAGGUGGUAUCUUGGUGUGUUUUUAGCAAUAAUGUCCUUUGAAAUGUUUUUUACUUUAUUGUAAUAAAUUAUAUUCAGGAUUUUUACUUUGAGAAAAU
This 443-nucleotide ribosomal RNA is filed under the name Hepatozoon sp. ex Prionailurus bengalensis. RNAcentral describes it as "bacterial SSU rRNA". It matches the Rfam family "Eukaryotic small subunit ribosomal RNA", at positions 333 to 766 of the family's 1831-position model. The record is from RNAcentral. Lineage: Eukaryota; Apicomplexa; Hepatozoidae.